AUGCUGAGAGUGAUCAGGGUGGUGUGGCCUGACUCAUACCACAGGCUGUGUGUAUGGCACAUUCGGCAGAACAUUGUACACCAUCUGCAUGACGAUGAGGUUAGGGAAGAAUUCAGAUCUUUCAUAUAUGACUCGUCUUCUAUUGAAGAGCAUGAGAUAAAAUGGAUAGAGUUCUUACAAAGGAAUGUAGUGAGAAGUGAGGAGUCGUUGCUGCAUCAGAUGUAUCAGAUGAGGAAGCUGUGGUGUGCUCCAUACCUGGUGGGGCAUUGUUUCUUAGGAUUGAGCAGCAAUCAACGUAGUGAGAGCAUCAACUCGGUGCUACAUACACAUCUUGAGGGUAAGAUGACAUUGUUUGAUAUGCUAGAGCACUAUGAGCAUUGCCUUUUGGGACGACGCUUGAACGAGGCGAUCCUAGACAUCGUGGCCUUAUAG
RNAcentral lists this ribosomal RNA (432 nucleotides) under Triticum aestivum (bread wheat). RNAcentral describes it as "partial small subunit ribosomal RNA". The record is from RNAcentral. Lineage: Eukaryota; Viridiplantae; Streptophyta; Magnoliopsida; Poales; Poaceae.